Molecule: long non-coding RNA, 263 nt
Filed under: Elaeis guineensis (African oil palm)
Lineage: Eukaryota; Viridiplantae; Streptophyta; Magnoliopsida; Arecales; Arecaceae
Description: long non-coding RNA (EGUI_LNC003032)
Source: RNAcentral
GGUGAAACUCCUAUCGAUCUCUCUCUGGUCCCCAGCCUCCCUCUUUUCCGUUUUUGCUUGUCCGGUAAGCUGGAGAAAUGUUGCCUUCCAAUUUGUCAACGGUUCCGACUUCCAAAUAAUAGCCCAAAAAUAAAAAAAUAAAAAUCGAGUUGGCAAGGAUAGACUUCGAUUGCCAAGUCCUGUGAGACUUGCACAUGUACACGAACAAGCUUGCUAAUAUUUCUAAUUGUAUGUGAUGGGACUUCCCAUCACUUUCCUCCUCC